Molecule: ribosomal RNA, 530 nt
Filed under: uncultured bacterium
Lineage: Bacteria
Description: partial 16S ribosomal RNA
Rfam family: Bacterial small subunit ribosomal RNA
Source: RNAcentral
UGGGGAAUAUUGCACAAUGGGCGAAAGCCUGAUGCAGCGACGCCGCGUGCGGGAUGAAGGCCUUCGGGUUGUAAACCGCUUUUGAUUGGGAGCAAGCGAGAGUGAGUGUACCUUUCGAAUAAGCACCGGCUAACUACGUGCCAGCAGCCGCGGUAAUACGUAGGGUGCAAGCGUUAUCCGGAAUUAUUGGGCGUAAAGAGCUCGUAGGCGGUUUGUCGCGUCUGGUGUGAAAGUCCAUCGCUUAACGGUGGAUCUGCGCCGGGUACGGGCAGGCUAGAGUGCGACAGGGGAGACUGGAAUUCCCGGUGUAACGGUGGAAUGUGUAGAUAUCGGGAAGAACACCAAUGGCGAAGGCAGGUCUCUGGGUCGUCACUGACGCUGAGGAGCGAAAGCGUGGGGAGCGAACAGGAUUAGAUACCCUGGUAGUCCACGCCGUAAACGGUGGAUGCUGGAUGUGGGGCCCAUUCCACGGGUUCCGUGUCGGAGCUAACGCGUUAAGCAUCCCGCCUGGGGAGUACGGCCGCAAGGCU